Molecule: ribosomal RNA, 477 nt
Filed under: uncultured bacterium
Lineage: Bacteria
Description: partial 16S ribosomal RNA
Rfam family: Bacterial small subunit ribosomal RNA
Source: RNAcentral
AUUGAACGCUGGCGGCAUGCCUUACACAUGCAAGUCGAACGGUAACAGGUUAAGCUGACGAGUGGCGAACGGGUGAGUAAUGUAUCGGAACGUGCCCAGUCGUGGGGGAUAACUGCUCGAAAGAGCAGCUAAUACCGCAUACGACCUGAGGGCGAAAGCGGGGGAUCGCAAGACCUCGCGCGAUUGGAGCGGCCGAUAUCCGAUUAGGUAGUUGGUGAGGUAAAGGCUCACCAAGCCGACGAUCUGUAGCUGGUCUGAGAGGACGACCAGCCACACUGGGACUGAGACACGGCCCAGACUCCUACGGGAGGCAGCAGUGGGGAAUUUUGGACAAUGGGCGCAAGCCUGAUCCAGCCAUGCCGCGUGCGGGAAGAAGGCCUUCGGGUUGUAAACCGCUUUUGUCAGGGAAGAAAAGGUUCUGGCUAAUACCUGGGACUCAUGACGGUACCUGAAGAAUAAGCACCGGCUAACUACGUG